RNAcentral lists this ribosomal RNA (555 nucleotides) under Agonimia repleta. RNAcentral describes it as "bacterial SSU rRNA". It matches the Rfam family "Bacterial small subunit ribosomal RNA", at positions 491 to 1120 of the family's 1533-position model. The record is from RNAcentral. Lineage: Eukaryota; Fungi; Ascomycota; Eurotiomycetes; Verrucariales; Verrucariaceae.
UCUUGACCAAAUUACGUGCCAGCAGUCGCGGCAACACGCAGAAGACAAGUGUUAUUCAUCUUUAAUAGGUUUAAAGGGUACCUAGACGGAAAAUCAAGCCAUAGUAGGGACUAAUUUUCUAGAGUUUUAUGGAAGAAAGUCGAAUAUCUGGAGUAGAGAUAAAAUAUGAUGAUACCAGAGAGACGGGUAACGGCAUAGGCAACUUUCUAUGUAAAAACUGACGUUGAGAGACGAAGCCCUGGGUAACGAUCAGGAUUAGAUACCCCAGUAGUCCAGGGAGACAAUGAUGAGUGUCAUAGACUAGGUUUUCUAGCCUAUAAAUGAAAGUGCAAGCACUCCACCUUAAGACUAAAGCGGCAACGCCCAAAUUGAAAUCAUUAGACCGUUCCUGAAACCAGUAGUGAAGUAUGUUAUUUAAUUCGAUGAUCCGCGAAUAACCUUACCACGUUUUGAAUACUAUUCAAUUAAUACAAGCGCUGCACGGCUGUCUUUAGUUAAUGUCGUGAGACUUUGGUUAACUCCUUUAAUUAACGAAAACCCUUGUUUUAUUUAUAC